GCUUUUGCUAGGCUGCUACAUCAACCCAUUGAUCGCCAGGGUUGAUUCAGCUGAUCUGGCUGGUUAGGCAGGUGUCCCCUUCCUCCCUCAGCGCUCCAUGUGCUUCCCUCCCGAAGCAUCAAGCUCGGUCGAAGAGGACGGCCUUCCCGGAAUAGAGACGGAUCAGUCUUUGGUCAGAGGUAUAGGAGUAGCUGCGGUCCCCUACCAGAACCUCCUGAUACCUAUGUAUUUACAUAUUUUCAUAACACACUUGUUCCUCACAAUCUCUUUAACCUUUGUAUACAAACCUUUGCUUCAUCCUCUAAUAUUUAUCUGAGGUGUGACUUCCCUUCAAAU
This 336-nucleotide small nuclear RNA is filed under the name Sorex araneus (European shrew). Its description in RNAcentral is "7SK RNA (ENSSARG00000017876.1)". It matches the Rfam family "7SK RNA". Rfam says of the family: 7SK was discovered as an abundant small nuclear RNA in the mid-70s but a possible function has only recently been suggested. Two independent studies have found that 7SK RNA binds the CDK9/cyclin T complex (known as elongation factor P-TEFb). P-TEFb activates transcription by phosphorylating the C-terminal domain of RNA polymerase II. Lineage: Eukaryota; Metazoa; Chordata; Mammalia; Eulipotyphla; Soricidae. The record is from RNAcentral.